RNAcentral lists this long non-coding RNA (1396 nucleotides) under Homo sapiens (human). RNAcentral describes it as "HSALNT0108029". Lineage: Eukaryota; Metazoa; Chordata; Mammalia; Primates; Hominidae. The record is from RNAcentral.
GUGUGCCUUUGAUGUUCAUGUUUAAUUUAUGGAGAAACUCUGACCUAAUUUUAUCUCUCAAGAUCAGCCCUUAAAAUCUCACAUGCCCACCUCUUCUGCAACAGUCCCUGUCCCUAGAGGACUUGAAUAGUUUUCAUUCUGGCCUCCUGUCUCAUGAGUGCAGUUUAUUUUGAUUGUCAUCUUCUCCUGGAUAUAAAGAAAUCCUGGUGAUUUUUAUUUUCCACCUCAAUUUUCAUGAUCACCAUUAUUCUACUUAAACAAAGAAGCUGGCAAAUCCAAAAUUUGCAGUUCAAGUCCAGAGGUCAUCAGGCUGGAGGUCCAGGAAACAACCAGUGUUGCAGCUCAAGUCUGAAGCCUCUCUGCUGACAGGCUUCUUCUUGCUCAGAGUAGGCUUCAAAAUGGUGAGAAGAUAAUGAGAAAAGGAAAGAAUCUAUGGAUAAGAAGAAUUCUGAAUUAUUUUGGAUUAGCCAAACUCACUAUAAACUCUACUAUAAAUAGGAAACCCUGCCAUGUUGAAAGGAAUACAACCCAACAUGGAGUAGAAACAAGAAAUCAAGAUAUACACUCUAGGACAAGGAGCAAUAAGAAUUUGACUUAAAAUGGUUAUUUAGCAUGUAUUAGAGUUGCAACUGGAUUUUAUGUAGUUAUGAGGGAACCCUGAAAAAAGUACCAUUGAACAGAAAUGAGAUUUGGUUUCAGAACUUCAGCCCAAAUGCUAUUAAAUCUUUUGCAUUUCUUGAACUAUACCCCUUGUGUCUUUGUCAUAAUUUUCCAGAGGUCUUCUCAGUCAAUAUGGGUUCAGUUUACAUAAUCCUGUCAACUGAAUAAAGUAAAUAUGUAUUAGGCUUCUGAGUAAAGUGUAAUCAUAAGCAUUGCAUUGAUAUAAGAUAUAUAAACUCAAGGAUAUAAAGAAACAAUUUUUUUGUUCGUUUUGUUUUGGUUUUGUUUUAAGUCAAAGGAAAGGUGUGGUUCAGGAGUGAUAAAUUGCAGCCUGGUGAUCAAGAAGAUUUAAAAUUUAUCUCAACUUUACUAAAGUCUUCCUGACUAUAGGCCCCUGACCAAUCUUUUCUUGGAGCACUUACUUCAGAAAAAUUGCAAAUGUUAAUUUUUUAUUUGCUGAUGAUGUAAUAUCUGUCUCAAGUAUCUGGGAAUCAUCAAUUUGAAAAGUAAUAGGAAAGAAAGAACCCUUGUCUCCUAGUUUCAGUGAAAUGAUAGGAGUUGUAGAUAAAUACCAACUAGCAACACAAAUGGCCUAAUAACAUUGCACAACCUAUUUGAUAACAUCAUUGUCUUCCAGUACUUUUCCAGUAGCUUCCCCUGGUGCUUAAGAAUUUACCCAACUUCUGUUUGAGUGGAGUGGAGUCAUUCUUUCUCCUUCACAAUAGUGUUGAAUAAA